GGACCCGCACAAGUAGUGGAGCAUGUGGUUUAAUUCGAAGAUACGCGCAGAACCUUACCAACACUUGACAUGUUCGUCGCGACUUUAAGAGAUUAAAGUUUUCGGUUCGGCCGGACGAAACACAGGUGCUGCAUGGCUGUCGUCAGCUCGUGUCGUGAGAUGUUGGGUUAAGUCCCGCAACGAGCGCAACCCUCACUUUUAGUUGCCAUCAUUUAGUUGGGCACUCUGAAAAGAACUGCCAGUGAUAAGCUGGAGGAAGGUGGGGAUGACGUCAAAGUCCUCAUGGGCCCUUACGUGUUGGGCUACACACGUGCUACAAUGGUAUCUACAACAGGAAGCAAGACGGCGACGUUUAGCAAAA
RNAcentral lists this ribosomal RNA (361 nucleotides) under uncultured bacterium. RNAcentral's name for it is "bacterial SSU rRNA". It matches the Rfam family "Bacterial small subunit ribosomal RNA", at positions 917 to 1272 of the family's 1533-position model. The record is from RNAcentral.